Molecule: long non-coding RNA, 620 nt
Organism: Tigriopus californicus
Lineage: Eukaryota; Metazoa; Arthropoda; Copepoda; Harpacticoida; Harpacticidae
Exons: 3
Source: RefSeq, a predicted model, not a curated record
GUCAAGACAUUGAAAUUAGUGGUCCCAUCGAGAAAUCCCAUUUUUGGAACAAAUAACAUAGGCAAAAUUACUAACCAAAGUCAAAUUCCAACAAUAUGUCAUGGGGCCCUUUGUACUGAAUGCGAGCAUUGAUGCAGCAAGUUUCGUAAAUUUUUCUCGACCCUUUCUUUUUAGGUUAGAGGCCUCAUCUGCGAAUACAGACUUGUCAAGACAUUGAAAUUAGUGUUCCCAUCGAGAAAUCCCAUUUUUGAAACAAAUAACAUAGGCAAAAUACUAACCAAAGUCAAAUUCCAACAAUAUGUCAUGGGCCCUUUGUACUGAAUGCGAGCAUAGAUGCAGCAAGUUUCGUAAAUUUUUCUCGACCCUUUCUUUUUGGUUAGAGGCCUCAUCUGCGAAUACAGACUUGUCAAGACAUUGAUUAGUGGUCCAAUCGAGAAAUCCCAUUUUUGGAACAAAUAUCAUAGGCAAAAUACUAACCAAAGUCAAAUUCCAACAAUAUGUCAUGGGGCCCUUUGUACUGAAUGCGAGCAUUGAUGAAGCAAGUUUCGUAAAUUUUUUCUCGACCCUUUCUUUUUGGUUGGAGGGCUUCAUCUGCGAAUACAGACUUGUCAAGACAUUGA